Long non-coding RNA from Ictalurus punctatus (channel catfish), 866 nucleotides. Lineage: Eukaryota; Metazoa; Chordata; Actinopteri; Siluriformes; Ictaluridae. The record is from Ensembl.
CUUCCAGUAUCCUCUUCUCUGUUUAGCAUUGAGACUGCCUACUAUUAAACCGCGUCUGUUGUUUCGAAGGACUCUGAGCCCGAGGAGGAGUCUGACUCGAGGGGCAGACACCGAGGCAGAAAGAGGCAGUCGACGAGGGAAGACUCGAAACAGAGGCACAAACGGCUCAAACUGAAACCAGCAAGAAGUACGAGCGAGGAAGAGGAGGAAUCGGACGAGGAAGGAGACGCCGGUGUGUCCGACGCGGAAAGGAGACCAGUCCGUAAAAACCUGAACCGUAUCGAAUCGGAUGAGGAAGAAGAGGACGGGGCGGAGAAAAGACCAAUGAGAAAGAUGGCCGGAAAGCAGGCCAGCAGAGUUACAGACUGCAGGGAGAUGAGUGUGAAGGCACACACUAGAGGCUCGAAGGACUCGAUGCUGAAGCACAACGGCCUGCUCCCUCCAAGAUCUUCAGCUCAGGAUGAAGAUGAUGACGAUGAGGAGGAGGAAGAGGAGGAUGAGGAGGAUGACCUCACCGCCACUACAGACUUUGUUAACUUUGUUUUUGACAGCGAACAGUUAUCGUGAUGUGCUGAAGAAAUUUCAUAUAUUAUUUUCUCAUUGCCUUUUUUUUUUUUUUUUAAGGUUUGUUUGUUUGUUUGUUUGUUUGUUUUUUUGAGUGUACUGGACCAAUCCAAGCUUCCAGAGGAAUUUUCACACGAUGUCUAAACAUACUUUAGUUACAUACAUCAUGCACAUGUCAGAUGUAGAGCAGGGUCUCGGUGCACAUCCUGAUUUUUUUAUGAGUGAAAGGUGCGAAAUUUGAAAGUUAGAUUUGAUCAGCUAGUCGCAAACUUGAUCAUAUGACUAGUUUCUCUAAGGUUAGC